AGAGUUUGAUCCUGGCUCAGAACGAACGCUGGCGGCAGGCCUAACACAUGCAAGUCGAGCGGCACCUUCGGGUGUAGCGGCGGACGGGUUAGUAACGCGUGGGAACGUACCCUUUUCUACGGAAUAGCCUCGGGAAACUGAGAGUAAUACCGUAUACGCCCUUCGGGGGAAAGAUUUAUCGGAGAAGGAUCGGCCCGCGUCUGAUUAGAUAGUUGGUGGGGUAAUGGCCUACCAAGUCUACGAUCAGUAGCUGGUUUUAGAGGAUGAUCAGCAACACUGGGACUGAGACACGGCCCAGACUCCUACGGGAGGCAGCAGUGGGGAAUCUUAGACAAUGGGCGCAAGCCUGAUCUAGCCAUGCCGCGUGAGUGAUGAAGGCCUUAGGGUCGUAAAGCUCUUUCGCCAGAGAUGAUAAUGACAGUAUCUGGUAAAGAAACCCCGGCUAACUCCGUGCCAGCAGCCGCGGUAAUACGGAGGGGGUUAGCGUUGUUCGGAAUUACUGGGCGUAAAGCGCACGUAGGCGGAUCAGAAAGUUGGGGGUGAAAUCCCGGGGCUCAACCCCGGAACGGCCUCCAAAACUCCUGGUCUUGAGUUCGAGAGAGGUGAGUGGAAUUCCGAGUGUAGAGGUGAAAUUCGUAGAUAUUCGGAGGAACACCAGUGGCGAAGGCGGCUCACUGGCUCGAUACUGACGCUGAGGUGCGAAAGUGUGGGGAGCAAACAGGAUUAGAUACCCUGGUAGUCCACACCGUAAACGAUGAAUGCCAGUCGUCGGGUAGUAUACUGCUCGGUGACACACCUAACGGAUUAAGCAUUCCGCCUGGGGAGUACGGUCGCAAGAUUAAAACUCAAA
This 850-nucleotide ribosomal RNA is filed under the name uncultured Alphaproteobacteria bacterium. Its description in RNAcentral is "bacterial SSU rRNA". It matches the Rfam family "Bacterial small subunit ribosomal RNA", at positions 8 to 905 of the family's 1533-position model. The record is from RNAcentral. Lineage: Bacteria; Pseudomonadati; Pseudomonadota; Alphaproteobacteria.